Molecule: ribosomal RNA, 505 nt
Filed under: uncultured bacterium
Lineage: Bacteria
Description: bacterial SSU rRNA
Rfam family: Bacterial small subunit ribosomal RNA
Source: RNAcentral
CCACACUGGUAAUGAGACACGGACCAGACUCCUACGGGAGGCAGCAGUGAGGAAUAUUGGUCAAUGGGCGAGAGCCUGAACCAGCCAAGUCGCGUGAAGGAUGACGGCCCUACGGGUUGUAAACUUCUUUUGUCAGGGAGCAAUUGAGUCCACGUGUGGGCUUAGCGAGAGUACCUGAAGAAAAAGCAUCGGCUAACUCCGUGCCAGCAGCCGCGGUAAUACGGAGGAUGCGAGCGUUAUCCGGAUUUAUUGGGUUUAAAGGGUGCGUAGGCGGAAUAUCAAGUCAGCGGUAAAAAUUCGGGGCUCAACCCCGUCGUGCCGUUGAAACUGAUGUUCUUGAGUGGGCGAGAAGUAUGCGGAAUGCGUGGUGUAGCGGUGAAAUGCAUAGAUAUCACGCAGAACUCCGAUUGCGAAGGCAGCAUACCGGCGCCCAACUGACGCUGAAGCACGAAAGCGUGGGUAUCGAACAGGAUUAGAUACCCUGGUAGUCCACGCAGUAAACGAU